UGCCAGACUCCUACGGGAGGCAGCAGUGGGGAAUAUUGCGCAAUGGGCGAAAGCCUGACGCAGCGACGCCGCGUGGGUGAAGAAGCGCCUCGGCGCGUAAAGCCCUGUCAGCAGGGAAGAAAAUGACGGUACCUGAAGAAGAAGCCCCGGCUAACUACGUGCCAGCAGCCGCGGUAAUACGUAGGGGGCAAGCGUUAUCCGGAUUUACUGGGUGUAAAGGGGGCGCAGACGGCGAUGCAAGCCAGGAGUGAAAGCCCGGGGCCCAACCCCGGGACUGCCCUUGGAACUGCAUGGCUGGAGUGCGGGAGGGGCAGGCGGAAUUCCUGGUGUAGCGGUGAAAUGCGUAGAUAUCAGGAGGAACACCGGCGGCGAAGGCGGCCUGCUGGACCGCGACUGACGUUGAGGCUCGAAAGCGUGGGGAGCGAACAGGAUUAGAUACCCCUGUACA
This 448-nucleotide ribosomal RNA is filed under the name uncultured bacterium. RNAcentral describes it as "partial 16S ribosomal RNA". It matches the Rfam family "Bacterial small subunit ribosomal RNA", at positions 329 to 794 of the family's 1533-position model. The record is from RNAcentral.